RNAcentral lists this ribosomal RNA (344 nucleotides) under Escherichia coli. RNAcentral's name for it is "partial 23S ribosomal RNA". It matches the Rfam family "Bacterial large subunit ribosomal RNA", at positions 1549 to 1874 of the family's 2925-position model. Lineage: Bacteria; Pseudomonadati; Pseudomonadota; Gammaproteobacteria; Enterobacterales; Enterobacteriaceae. The record is from RNAcentral.
AUCAAGGCUGAGGCGUGAUGACGAGGCACUACGGUGCUGAAGCAACAAAUGCCCUGCUUCCAGGAAAAGCCUCUAAGCAUCAGGUAACAUCAAAUCGUACCCCAAACCGACACAGGUGGUCAGGUAGAGAAUACCAAGGCGCUUGAGAGAACUCGGGUGAAGGAACUAGGCAAAAUGGUGCCGUAACUUCGGGAGAAGGCACGCUGAUAUGUAGGUGAAGCGACUUGCUCGUGGAGCUGAAAUCAGUCGAAGAUACCAGCUGGCUGCAACUGUUUAUUAAAAACACAGCACUGUGCAAACACGAAAGUGGACGUAUACGGUGUGACGCCUGCCCGGUGCCGGAA